This 969-nucleotide non-coding RNA is filed under the name Sciurus anomalus (Caucasian squirrel). Lineage: Eukaryota; Metazoa; Chordata; Mammalia; Rodentia; Sciuridae. The record is from RNAcentral.
GACAGGUUUGGUCCUGGCCUUUUUAUUAGCUUUCAGUAGACUUACACAUGCAAGCAUCCCCGCCCCAGUGAGAAUGCCCUCUAUCUCCAGACAGGAUCAAAAGGAGCAGGUAUCAAGUUCGCUCUUCACGAGCUGCUCACAACACCUUGCAACGCCACACCCCCACGGGAUACAGCAGUGAUUAAAAUUAAAACAUAAACGAAAGUUUGAUUAAGUCAUACUAAUACUAGGGUUGGUAAAUUUCGUGCCAGCCACCGCGGUCAUACGAUUAACCCUAGUUAAUAAAAUACGGCGUAGAGCGUGAUUAAGGUUUAAUUCUAAAUAAGAUUAAGCUUUAGCUAAGCUGUAAAAAGCCCUAGCUAGCAUAAAAAUAUACAACGAAAGUAAUCUUAAAACCCCUGAAUUCACGAUAGCUAAGACCCAAACUGGGAUUAGAUACCCCACUAUGCUUAGCCCUAAACAUCAAUACUCAAAUAACAAGACUAUUCGCCAGAGAACUACUAGCCAUUGCUUAAAACUCAAAGGACUUGGCGGUGCUUUAUACCCCUCUAGAGGAGCCUGUUCUAUAAUCGAUAAACCCCGCUUAACCUCACCACUCUUUGCAAUAUCAGCCUAUAUACCGCCAUCUUCAGCAAACCCUAACAAGGCACUGUAGUAAGCACAAGAAUUUUACAUAAAAACGUUAGGUCAAGGUGUAGCCUAUAGAGUGGGAAGAAAUGGGCUACAUUUUCUAUCCUCCUAGAAUAUCUUACGAUAGCUGUUAUGAAAUAUAACAAGCCCGAGGCGGAUUUAGUAGUAAGUUGGGAACAGAGUGCUCAACUGAAUCGGGCAAUAAAGCACGCACACACCGCCCGUCACCCUCCUCAAGCACUCAAGACCAUCACAUAUAGCUAAUAUCACAGGUCCCUAAAUGCAAGAAGAGACAAGUCGUAACAAGGUAAACAUACUGGAAAGUGUGUUUGGAAUAUC